GUGGGGAAUUUUGGACAAUGGGCGAAAGCCUGAUCCAGCAAUGCCGCGUGUGUGAAGAAGGCCUUCGGGUUGUAAAGCACUUUUGUCCGGAAAGAAAUCCUUUGGGUUAAUACCUCGGAGGGAUGACGGUACCGGAAGAAUAAGGACCGGCUAACUACGUGCCAGCAGCCGCGGUAAUACGUAGGGUCCGAGCGUUAAUCGGAAUUACUGGGCGUAAAGCGUGCGCAGGCGGUUUUGUAAGACAGAUGUGAAAUCCCCGGGCUUAACCUGGGAAUUGCAUUUGUGACUGCAAGGCUAGAGUGUGUCAGAGGGGGGUAGAAUUCCACGUGUAGCAGUGAAAUGCGUAGAGAUGUGGAGGAAUACCGAUGGCGAAGGCAGCCCCCUGGGAUAACACUGACGCUCAUGCACGAAAGCGUGGGGAGCAAACAGGAUUAGAUACCCGAGUAGUCC
RNAcentral lists this ribosomal RNA (450 nucleotides) under uncultured bacterium. Its description in RNAcentral is "partial 16S ribosomal RNA". It matches the Rfam family "Bacterial small subunit ribosomal RNA", at positions 354 to 796 of the family's 1533-position model. The record is from RNAcentral.